Molecule: non-coding RNA, 30 nt
Filed under: Mus musculus (house mouse)
Lineage: Eukaryota; Metazoa; Chordata; Mammalia; Rodentia; Muridae
Source: RNAcentral
UCCUGCACCGUGUCAAUCAGAGGAAACUGC